This 542-nucleotide ribosomal RNA is filed under the name Chaetoceros curvisetus. Its description in RNAcentral is "partial Eukaryotic small subunit ribosomal RNA". It matches the Rfam family "Eukaryotic small subunit ribosomal RNA", at positions 373 to 921 of the family's 1831-position model. Lineage: Eukaryota; Bacillariophyta; Thalassiosirophyceae; Chaetocerotales; Chaetocerotaceae. The record is from RNAcentral.
GGGUUCGAUUCCGGAGAGGGAGCCUGAGAAACGGCUACCACAUCCAAGGAAGGCAGCAGGCGCGCAAAUUACCCAAUCCCGACACGGGGAGGUAGUGACAAUAAAUACUGAUACAGGGCUCUUUUGGGUCUUGUAAUUGGAAUGAGUACAAUUUAAAUCCCUUAACGAGGAACAAUUGGAGGGCAAGUCUGGUGCCAGCAGCCGCGGUAAUUCCAGCUCCAAUAGCGUAUAUUUAAGUUGUUGCAGUUAAAAAGCUCGUAGUUGGAUUUGUGGUUGGAGAGGUCCGCCGUUGCUAUGCUUCGUGUUGGAUCUUUCCGUCCAUCCUUGGGUGGAUCCUGUGUGGCAUUCAGUUGUCGUGCAGGGGAUGCCCAUCGUUUACUGUGAAAAAAUUAGAGUGUUCAAAGCAGGCUUACGCCUUGAAUAUAUUAGCAUGGAAUAAUAAGAUAGGACCUGGGUACUAUUUUGUUGGUUUGCGCACCGAGGUAAUGAUUAAUAGGGACAGUUGGGGGUAUUCGUAUUCCAUUGUCAGAGGUGAAAUUCUU